AUUGAACGCUGGCGGCAGGCUUAACACAUGCAAGUCGAGCGGAGACUUCGGUCUUAGCGGCGAACGGGUGAGUAAUACCUAGGAAUCUGCCUAUUAGUGGGGGAUAACGUUUCGAAAGGGACGCUAAUACCGCGUACGCCCUACGGGGGAAAGCAGGGGAUCUUCGGACCUUGCGCUAAUAGAUGAGCCUAGGCCGGAUUAGCUAGUUGGUAGGGUAAAGGCCUACCAAGGCUACGAUCUGUAGCUGGUCUGAGAGGAUGACCAGCCACACUGGAACUGAGACACGGUCCAGACUCCUACGGGAGGCAGCAGUGGGGAAUAUUGGACAAUGGGGGAAACCCUGAUCCAGCCAUGCCGCGUGUGUGAAGAAGGCCUUCGGGUUGUAAAGCACUUUAAGCGAGGAGGAAGGUUUACUAGAUAAUACCUAGUAGAAUUGACGUUACUCGCAGAAUAAGCACCGGCUAACUCUGUG
Molecule: ribosomal RNA, 472 nt
Filed under: uncultured organism
Description: bacterial SSU rRNA
Rfam family: Bacterial small subunit ribosomal RNA
Source: RNAcentral